GAUGAACGCUGGCGGCGUGCCUAAUACAUGCAAGUCGAGCGAACGGACGAGACGCUUGCUUCUCUGAUGUUAGCGGCGGACGGGUGAGUAACUCGUGGAUAACCUACCUAUAAGACUGGGAUAACUUCGGGAAACCGGAGCUAAUACCGGUUAAUAUUUUGAACCGCAUGGUUCAAAAGUGAAAGACGUUCUUGCUGUCACUUAUAGAUGGAUCCUCGCUGCAUUAGCUAGUUGGUAAGGUAACGGCUUACCAAGGCAACGAUGCAUAGCCGACCUGAGAGGGUGAUCGGCCACACUGGAACUGAGACACGGUCCAGACUCCUACGGGAGGCAGCAGUAGGGAAUAUUCCGCAAUGGGCGAAAGCCUGACGGAGCAACGCCGCGUGAGUGAUGAAGGUCUUCGGAUCGUAAAACUCUGUUAGUAGGGAAGAACAUAUGUGUAAGUAAAUGUGCACAUCUUGACGGUACCUAAUCAGAAAGCAACGGCUAACUACGUG
This 497-nucleotide ribosomal RNA is filed under the name uncultured bacterium. RNAcentral's name for it is "partial 16S ribosomal RNA". It matches the Rfam family "Bacterial small subunit ribosomal RNA", at positions 28 to 507 of the family's 1533-position model. The record is from RNAcentral.